UUUUUGGAGAGUUUGAUCUUGGCUCAGGACGAACGCUGGCGGCGUGCCUAAUACAUGCAAGUCGAGCGCUGGAAGCUAAUUUCAUCCCUUCGGGAUGAAAUUAGUGGAAAGAGCGGCGGACGGGUGAGUAACACGUGGGCAACCUACCUAUAAGACUGGGAUAACUCGCGGAAACGUGAGCUAAUACCGGAUAAUACUUUUUAUUGCAUAAUAAGAAGUUUGAAA
Molecule: ribosomal RNA, 225 nt
Filed under: Bacilli bacterium
Lineage: Bacteria; Bacillati; Bacillota; Bacilli
Description: partial 16S ribosomal RNA
Rfam family: Bacterial small subunit ribosomal RNA
Source: RNAcentral